RNAcentral lists this ribosomal RNA (500 nucleotides) under uncultured bacterium. Its description in RNAcentral is "partial 16S ribosomal RNA". It matches the Rfam family "Bacterial small subunit ribosomal RNA", at positions 30 to 523 of the family's 1533-position model. The record is from RNAcentral.
AUUGAACGCUGGCGGCAUGCCUUACACAUGCAAGUCGAACGGCAGCACGGGAGUAAUCCUGGUGGCGAGUGGCGAACGGGUGAGUAAUGUAUCGGAACGUGCCCAAUCGUGGGGGAUAACGCUGCGAAAGCUGUGCUAAUACCGCAUACGAUCUAUGGAUGAAAGCGGGGGAUCGCAAGACCUCGCGCGAUUGGAGCGGCCGAUAUCAGAUUAGCUAGUUGGUGGGGUAAAAGCUUACCAAGGCGACGAUCUGUAGCUGGUCUGAGAGGACGACCAGCCACACUGGAACUGAGACACGUUCCAGACUCCUACGGGAGGCAGCAGUGGGGAAUUUUUGACAAUGGGCGCAAGCCUGAUCCAGCAAUGCCGCGUGCAGGAUGAAGGCCUUCGGGUUGUAAACUGCUUUUGUACGGAGCGAAAAGGCUCUCUCUAAUACAGGGGGCUCAUGACGGUACCGUAAGAAUAAGCACCGGCUAACUACGUGCCAGCAGCCGCCGUAA